CCUACGGGAGGCAGCAGUGAGGAAUAUUGGUCAAUGGACGAGAGUCUGAACCAGCCAAGUAGCGUGAAGGAUGACUGCCCUAUGGGUUGUAAACUUCUUUUAUAUGGGAAUAAAAUGUUCCACGUGUGGGAUUUUGUAUGUACCAUAUGAAUAAGGAUCGGCUAACUCCGUGCCAGCAGCCGCGGUAAUACGGAGGAUCCGAGCGUUAUCCGGAUUUAUUGGGUUUAAAGGGAGCGUAGGUGGAUUGUUAAGUCAGUUGUGAAAGUUUGCGGCUCAACCGUAAAAUUGCAGUUGAAACUGGCAGUCUUGAGUAUAGUAGAGGGGGGCAGAAUUCGUGGUGUAGCGGUGAAAUGCUUAGAGAUCACGAAGAACUCCGAUUGCGAAGGCAGCUCACUGGACUGAAACUGACACUGAGGCUCGAAAGUGUGGGGAUCAAACAGGAUUAGAUACCCGGGUAGUC
This 460-nucleotide ribosomal RNA is filed under the name uncultured bacterium. RNAcentral's name for it is "partial 16S ribosomal RNA". It matches the Rfam family "Bacterial small subunit ribosomal RNA", at positions 338 to 795 of the family's 1533-position model. The record is from RNAcentral.